UGGGGAAUAUUGGACAAUGGGGGCAACCCUGAUCCAGCAAUGCCGCGUGUGUGAAGAAGGCCUUCGGGUUGUAAAGCACUUUCAGUUGGGAGGAAGGGGAGUAUGUUAAUAGCAUAUUUCAUUGACGUUACCGACAGAAGAAGCACCGGCUAACUCUGUGCCAGCAGCCGCGGUAAUACAGAGGGUGCUAGCGUUAAUCGGAAUUACUGGGCGUAAAGCGUGUGUAGGUGGUUAGAUAAGUUAGAUGUGAAAACCCUGGGCUUAACCUGGGAACUGCGUUUAAGACUGUUUAGCUAGAGUACUGUAGAGGACAGUGGAAUUUCCAGUGUAGCGGUGAAAUGCGUAGAUAUUGGAAGGAACACCAGUGGCGAAGGCGACUGUCUGGAUAGAUACUGACACU
RNAcentral lists this ribosomal RNA (400 nucleotides) under uncultured bacterium. RNAcentral describes it as "bacterial SSU rRNA". It matches the Rfam family "Bacterial small subunit ribosomal RNA", at positions 355 to 747 of the family's 1533-position model. The record is from RNAcentral.